GAAGUAGCAAUACUUAGUGGCAGACGGGUGAGUAACAUGUAGGUAUCUGCCCUUUGGCCUGGAAUAACACGAGGAAACUUGUGCUAAUACCGGAUAAGUCUUUACGGAGAAAGCUUUAUGCACCAUUGGAUGAGCCUGCACUUGAUUAGUUUGUUGGUGGGGUAAUGGCCUACCAAGUACUGUGAUCAAUAGCUGAUUUGAGAGGAUGAUCAGCCACAUUGGGACUGAGACACGGCCCAAACUCCUACGGGAGGCAGCAGUGGGGAAUCUUGCACAAUGGAGGAAACUCUGAUGCAGCGAUGCCGCGUGAGUGAAGAAGGCCCUUGGGUUGUAAAGCUCUUUCGUCGGGGAAGAAAAUGACUGUACCCGAAUAAGAAGGUCCGGCUAACUUCGUGCCAGCAGCCGCGGUAAUACGAAGGGACCUAGCGUAGUUCGGAAUUACUGGGCUUAAAGAGUUCGUAGGUGGUUGAAAAAGUUAGUGGUGAAAUCCCAGAGCUUAACUCUGGAACUGCCAUUAAAACUUUUCAGCUAGAGUAUGAUAGAGGAAAGCAGAAUUUCUAGUGUAGAGGUGAAAUUCGUAGAUAUUA
RNAcentral lists this ribosomal RNA (587 nucleotides) under uncultured Pseudomonadota bacterium. RNAcentral's name for it is "bacterial SSU rRNA". It matches the Rfam family "Bacterial small subunit ribosomal RNA", at positions 72 to 699 of the family's 1533-position model. Lineage: Bacteria; Pseudomonadati; Pseudomonadota. The record is from RNAcentral.